GACGAACGCUGGCGGCGUGCCUAAUACAUGCAAGUAGAACGCUGAAGGAGGAGCUUGCUUCUCUGGAUGAGUUGCGAACGGGUGAGUAACGCGUAGGUAACCUGCCUGGUAGCGGGGGAUAACUAUUGGAAACGAUAGCUAAUACCGCAUAAGAGUGGAUGUUGCAUGACAUUUGCUUAAAAGGUGCACUUGCAUCACUACCAGAUGGACCUGCGUUGUAUUAGCUAGUUGGUGGGGUAAGGGCUCACCAAGGCGACGAUACAUAGCCGACCUGAGUGGGUGAUCGGCCACACUGGGACUGAGACACGGCCCAGACUCCUACGGGAGGCAGCAGUAGGGAAUCUUCGGCAAUGGACGGAAGUCUGACCGAGCAACGCCGCGUGAGUGAAGAAGGUUUUCGGAUCGUAAAGCUCUGUUGUAAGAGAAGAACGAGUGUGAGAGUGGAAAGUUCACACUGUGACGGUAUCUUACCAGAAAGGGACGGCUAACUACGUGCCAGCAGCCGCGGUAAUACGUAGGUCCCGAGCGUUGUCCGGAUUUAUUGGGCGUAAAGCGAGCGCAGGCGGUUAGAUAAGUCUGAAGUUAAAGGCUGUGGCUUAACCAUAGUAGGCUUUGGAAACUGUUUAACUUGAGUGCAAGAGGGGAGAGUGGAAUUCCAUGUGUAGCGGUGAAAUGCGUAGAUAUAUGGAGGAACACCGGUGGCGAAAGCGGCUCUCUGGCUUGUAACUGACGCUGAGGCUCGAAAGCGUGGGGAGCAAACAGGAUUAGAUACCCUGGUAGUCCACGCUGUAAACGAUGAGUGCUAGGUGUUAGACCCUUUCCGGGGUUUAGUGCCGUAGCUAACGCAUUAAGCACUCCGCCUGGGGAGUACGACCGCAAGGUUGAAACUCAAAGGAAUUGACGGGGGCCCGCACAAGUGGUGGAGCAUGUGGUUUAAUUCGAAGCAACGCGAAGAACCUUACCAGGUCUUGACAUCCCUCUGACCGCUCUAGAGAUAGAGCUUUCCUUCGGGACAGAGGUGACAGGUGGUGCAUGGUUGUCGUCAGCUCGUGUCGUGAGAUGUUGGGUUAAGUCCCGCAACGAGCGCAACCCCUAUUGUUAGUUGCCAUCAUUUAGUUGGGCACUCUAGCGAGACUGCCGGUAAUAAACCGGAGGAAGGUGGGGAUGACGUCAAAUCAUCAUGCCCCUUAUGACCAGGGCUACACACGUGCUACAAUGGCUGGUACAACGAGUCGCAAGCCGGUGACGGCAAGCUAAUCUCUUAAAGCCAGUCUCAGUUCGGAUUGUAGGCUGCAACUCGCCUACAUGAAGUCGGAAUCGCUAGUAAUCGCGGAUCAGCACGCCGCGGUGAAUACGUUCCCGGGCCU
Molecule: ribosomal RNA, 1367 nt
Filed under: uncultured bacterium
Lineage: Bacteria
Description: bacterial SSU rRNA
Rfam family: Bacterial small subunit ribosomal RNA
Source: RNAcentral